Molecule: ribosomal RNA, 211 nt
Filed under: uncultured Pseudomonas sp.
Lineage: Bacteria; Pseudomonadati; Pseudomonadota; Gammaproteobacteria; Pseudomonadales; Pseudomonadaceae
Description: partial 16S ribosomal RNA
Rfam family: Bacterial small subunit ribosomal RNA
Source: RNAcentral
GGUGGGGAUGACGUCAAGUCAUCAUGGCCCUUACGGCCAGGGCUACACACGUGCUACAAUGGUCGGUACAAAGGGUUGCCAAGCCGCGAGGUGGAGCUAAUCCCAUAAAACCGAUCGUAGUCCGGAUCGCAGUCUGCAACUCGACUGCGUGAAGUCGGAAUCGCUAGUAAUCGUGAAUCAGAAUGUCACGGUGAAUACGUUCCCGGGCCUU